Long non-coding RNA from Hyla sarda, 1516 nucleotides. RefSeq lists it as uncharacterized. The transcript is spliced from 4 exons. NCBI's taxonomy places the organism in Eukaryota, Metazoa, Chordata, Amphibia, Anura, Hylidae. The record is from RefSeq and is a predicted model, not a curated record.
GGCACAUGACCGCCAAAGCAGCUGAUUGGCUGCAGCCGUCACAUAACAUCCACCCAAAAAAGGAAGACCAGGGUGCUGACCUAUUGGAGGAUUAGUGUGGGAUGCAUUUAGGAAAAAAUUUAAAUACUAAAACCUGGAUAACCGCUUUUAUACACCAAAUUUAGUGCCUUUGACUUUGCUACAUUUGUGAUCCGGUGGAGGAUUACUCCAAGGUAAGCACGGUAGAGAACCAGCGGUGCCAUGGAUCCAGGGAUCAUUUCUGAAUCUACUCAGGCCGAGAUCAGUUUAGGUUCCUGGUUGCAGAGUCUAGCCAAGACAUUAUAUUGAUCUCAUUAGUGUGAAUUGUAGUGAUGAGACGCCACCCCCUCUUUCUGCAAAGCCAGUUGAUUCAUGAGAAACAUAGGCAACAUGAUAAGAUCAUUUCUGUUCUCAAUCAAGAAUCACUGAAUCCAUGCCUACCUUAUCAACUAAAAACAGGCGAUUUGUCACCGAGGCGCAGGAUUCCCCCCGCACAGAAUGUCUGGUUUGCAUUCUACAAAUACUGAGCUGCUAAGAAUGAAGGAGAUGAAGAAUGGAUGGUAUUACCAGUGAUGUGCGGAGUUCCUCCCAGUGCUGCUGCCGCACAGCUGCAUCCAUACCGUUUAUUGCUGUAACUGGGUCACAUGAUCACCAGUCUGACCCACGGAGCAUCACAGUGCUUAAUGUAUGCUAGAAGAGUGGAGCUGUGACAGGUAAACAAUAAUUGUGCCUGGUAUUAUGGCUCAGUCUCAAUCACUUGACUGGCACUGAACUGCUCUGGAGCUGCAGUACCAGGAGCAGCCACUACAAGAUGUGUGGCGCUAUGCCUGGUAAACAGUGUUUGCCUGGUUUUAUGGCUUAGUAUCAAUCACUUGACUGGGACUGAAUUUCUCUGGAGCUGCAGUACCAGGAACAGCCAUUACAAGAUGUGUGGCGCUAUGCCUGGUAAACAGUGUUUGUGCCUGGUUUUAUGGCUCAGUAUCAAUCACUUGACUGGGACUGAACUUCUCUGGAGCUGCAGUACCAGGAACAGCCACUACAAGAGGUGUGGAGCUAUGCCUGGUAAACAGGGUAAGUGGUACUCGCUAAAACGCCAUGGCCUCUGCAACCAGCCAAUUGGAUGGGGUGGCAGGAGUUGGACCCCAACCUAGCUGAUUUUGAUGGUCUGUAAUCAAUAUUGUAGAAUUUGAAGACCCCUUAAAGCAAUCGGUGUGGUAGAUAUGGACGAUUCCCCCUUCUUUUGCACCCAGCUGUGAUAAAUGGAACAGAUAACAAAGGGCCUAUGUCAGAUUUCUUCAAGACAAGUCUGCAUCCAGCUCUUUUGUACUGCCUAAACCAAGAAAAGCAGCUGUCACACAGCAAUAACUUAGGUCACAAAGGUCUGUGGCAAUGAAAAGAUGGUGGGCCAUAAGAUAACAAAGGGGCCAUGUCAGAUUUAUUCAAGACAAAUCUGUAUCCUAUUGUACUGCCUGAACCAAGAUAGGCAGCUGUCACACAA